This 429-nucleotide ribosomal RNA is filed under the name Gemmatimonadota bacterium. Its description in RNAcentral is "Gemmatimonadetes bacterium partial 16S ribosomal RNA". It matches the Rfam family "Bacterial small subunit ribosomal RNA", at positions 355 to 776 of the family's 1533-position model. Lineage: Bacteria; Pseudomonadati; Gemmatimonadota. The record is from RNAcentral.
UAGGGAAUCUUCGGCAAUGGACGAAAGUCUGACCGAGCAACGCCGCGUGAGUGAAGAAGGUUUUCGGAUCGUAAAACUCUGUUGUUAGAGAAGAACAAGGACGUUAGUAACUGAACGUCCCCUGACGGUAUCUAACCAGAAAGCCACGGCUAACUACGUGCCAGCAGCCGCGGUAAUACGUAGGUGGCAAGCGUUGUCCGGAUUUAUUGGGCGUAAAGCGAGCGGAGGCGGUUUCUUAAGUCUGAUGUGAAAGCCCCCGGCUCAACCGGGGAGGGUCAUUGGAAACUGGGAGACUUGAGUGCAGAAGAGGAGAGUGGAAUUCCAUGUGUAGCGGUGAAAUGCGUAGAUAUAUGGAGGAACACCAGUAGCGAAGGCGGCUCUCUAGUCUGUAACUGACGCUGAGGCUCGAAAGCGUGGGGAGCAAACAGG